This 440-nucleotide long non-coding RNA is filed under the name Pan troglodytes (chimpanzee). RNAcentral describes it as "long non-coding RNA NONPTRT014478". The record is from RNAcentral. Lineage: Eukaryota; Metazoa; Chordata; Mammalia; Primates; Hominidae.
GUGCCCACGAGAGAGGCGACUUUACGUCAGCGGCCUUGGGCUGAGAUUUGAGAACGCGACCAAGUGGAGAAUGUUGGAGCCAGAUUUUAAAAUCCUUGUCUUCCUUCUGCUUGCUACUUGAUCUAAAUGAGAUACGGCAAAGUCACAGAACCUGUUUUUAUGUUUUUGCCUGAUUCAUACGGGCUUCUCCGGUGAAGAUGGGCUGAAGUAACGCUGGGGUUGCUUCUGACGUUGUAACUCAUCCUGUAGCUGCAGCAACCGUGGUCCUUGCAACCUCAUAAAAAUGUUGCCAGCAUUGUUUCGAUAGUGCUGCUUAAUUCUUGGAAGGUUCUUCGGACUUCACACAUUCCAGCAGUAGCUCUCUCAGCUCCUGUCCUGCACAGCUUUGAAGUGCUGGUGAUGUCAUUGAACUCUUAAGUGCAAGAUGAAACAAGUCUUUC